AGUCGUAACAAGGUUUCCGUAGGUGAACCUGCGGAAGGAUCAUUAACAAAAUCAUCAUUUAAACCCGUUGAACUGCAUGUUUAUUAUUGGAGAGCUGCGACGUUUGCCGCAUUCUCUCUAAUGGUAAAUGUGCUGCGUGUAAGGCUAUGGCAUCGGUACGAUGCGGCUUUACAUAAUAGUCUAUUCAGUUUGUUUUGUCCCGUGAAACAAUAAAUUCAGUACAACUAUUAACAGUGGAUCUCUAGGCUCCCA
RNAcentral lists this unclassified non-coding RNA (252 nucleotides) under fungal sp. RNAcentral's name for it is "partial internal transcribed spacer region". The stretch from base 1 to 45 matches the Rfam family "Eukaryotic small subunit ribosomal RNA", at positions 1787 to 1831 of the family's 1831-position model. The record is from RNAcentral. Lineage: Eukaryota; Fungi.